GCUGGGCGUGGUGGAGUGCGCCUGUAAUCCCAGCUACUUGGAAGGCUGAGGCAGGAGAAUUGCUUGAGCCCAGGAGGUGGAGGUUGCAGUGAGCCGAGGUCACGCCACUUCACUCCAGCCUGGGCAACAGAGCGAGACUCUGUCUCAC
Molecule: unclassified non-coding RNA, 148 nt
Organism: Pongo abelii (Sumatran orangutan)
Lineage: Eukaryota; Metazoa; Chordata; Mammalia; Primates; Hominidae
Rfam family: Metazoan signal recognition particle RNA
About the family: The signal recognition particle (SRP) is a universally conserved ribonucleoprotein. It is involved in the co-translational targeting of proteins to membranes.
Source: Ensembl